CGGGAGGCAGCAGGGGGGAAUCUUAGACAAUGGGGGCAACCCUGAUCUAGCCAUGCCGCGUGAGUGAUGAAGGCCUUAGGGUCGUAAAGCUCUCUCGCCUGUGAUGAUAAUGACAGUAGCAGGUAAAGAAACCCCGGCUAACUCCGUGCCAGCAGCCGCGGUAAUACGGAGGGGGUUAGCGUUGUUCGGAAUUACUGGGCGUAAAGCGCGCGUAGGCGGAUUAGAAAGUUGGGGGUGAAAUCCCGGGGCUCAACCCCGGAACUGCCUCCAAAACUGCUAGUCUAGAGUUCGAGAGAGGUGAGUGGAAUUCCGAGUGUAGAGGUGAAAUUCGUAGAUAUUCGGAAGAACACCAGUGGCGAAGGCGGCUCACUGGCUCGAUACUGACGCUGAGGUGCGAAAGUGUGGGGAGCAAACAGGAUUAGAUACCCUGGUAGUCCACACCGUAAACGAUGAAUGCCAGUCGUCGGAUAGUAUACUAUUCGGUGACACACCUAACGGAUUAAGCAUUCCGCCUGGGGAGUACGGUCGCAAGAUUAAAACUCAA
RNAcentral lists this ribosomal RNA (544 nucleotides) under uncultured bacterium. RNAcentral describes it as "bacterial SSU rRNA". It matches the Rfam family "Bacterial small subunit ribosomal RNA", at positions 342 to 904 of the family's 1533-position model. The record is from RNAcentral.